RNAcentral lists this ribosomal RNA (461 nucleotides) under uncultured bacterium. RNAcentral describes it as "partial 16S ribosomal RNA". It matches the Rfam family "Bacterial small subunit ribosomal RNA", at positions 338 to 795 of the family's 1533-position model. The record is from RNAcentral.
CCUACGGGUGGCAGCAGUGAGGAAUAUUGGUCAAUGGGCGCGAGCCUGAACCAGCCAAGUCGCGUGAGGGAUGACGGUCCUACGGAUUGUAAACCUCUUUUGCCGGGGAGCAAGCGUGCGUUCGUGAACGCGCGUCGAGAGUACCCGGAGAAAAAGCAUCGGCUAACUCCGUGCCAGCAGCCGCGGUAAUACGGAGGAUGCGAGCGUUAUCCGGAUUUAUUGGGUUUAAAGGGAGCGUAGAUGGGUUGUUAAGUCAGUUGUGAAAGUUUGCGGCUCAACCGUAAAAUUGCAAUUGAUACUGGCAGUCUUGAGUACAGUUGAGGUAGGCGGAAUUCGUGGUGUAGCGGUGAAAUGCUUAGAUAUCACGAAGAACUCCGAUUGCGAAGGCAGCUUACUAAACUGCCACUGACAUUGAUGCUCGAAAGUGUGGGUAUCAAACAGGAUUAGAUACCCCAGUAGUC